This 497-nucleotide ribosomal RNA is filed under the name uncultured bacterium. RNAcentral describes it as "partial 16S ribosomal RNA". It matches the Rfam family "Bacterial small subunit ribosomal RNA", at positions 28 to 507 of the family's 1533-position model. The record is from RNAcentral.
GAUGAACGCUGGCGGCGUGCCUAAUACAUGCAAGUCGAGCGAACAGACGAGGAGCUUGCUCCUCUGACGUUAGCGGCGGACGGGUGAGUAACACGUGGAUAACCUACCUAUAAGACUGGGAUAACUUCGGGAAAACGGAGCUAAUACCGGAUAAUAUAUUGAACCGCAUGGUUCACUAGUGAAAGACGGUUUUGCUGUCACUUAUAGAUGGAUCCGCGCUGCAUUAGCUAGUUGGUAAGGUAACGGCUUACCAAGGCAACGAUGCGUAGCCGACCUGAGAGGGUGAUCGGCCACACUGGAACUGAGACACGGUCCAGACUCCUACGGGAGGCAGCAGUAGGGAAUCUUCCGCAAUGGGCGAAAGCUUGACGGAGCAACGCCGCGUGAGUGAUGAAGGUCUUCGGAUCGUAAAACUCUGUUAUUAGGGAAGAACAAAUGUGUAAGUAACUAUGCACGUCUUGACGGUACCUAAUCAGAAAGCCACGGCUAACUACGUG